Molecule: ribosomal RNA, 444 nt
Filed under: uncultured bacterium
Lineage: Bacteria
Description: partial 16S ribosomal RNA
Rfam family: Bacterial small subunit ribosomal RNA
Source: RNAcentral
GUGAGGAAUAUUGGUCAAUGGGCGCAAGCCUGAACCAGCCAUCCCGCGUGAAGGACGACGGCCCUAUGGGUUGUAAACUUCUUUUGUACGGGAAGCACGUGCGCUAUGUAUAGCGUAUUGACGGUACCGUACGAAUAAGCAUCGGCUAACUCCGUGCCAGCAGCCGCGGUAAUACGGAGGAUGCGAGCGUUAUCCGGAUUCAUUGGGUUUAAAGGGUGCGUAGGCGGCCCGGUAAGUCAGCGGUGAAAGUUUGCGGCUCAACCGUAAAAUUGCCGUUGAUACUGUCGGGCUUGAGUUCAGAUGAAGUGGGCGGAAUGAGUAGUGUAGCGGUGAAAUGCUUAGAUAUUACUCAGAACACCGAUUGCGAAGGCAGCCCACUAAACUGCGACUGACGCUGAUGCACGAAAGCGUGGGGAUCGAACAGGAUUAGAAACCCGAGUAGCC